GAAAAUAAUAUAACUAAAAGAUAUUAGAACCCACAAUAUUUAUAGAAAAAUCUACAUUGAGAAUAUUGCAGAGUAUCUUUCCACGCAAUUGCACCUUAUAUAACCUCCUUAUAUAACCUAGAUAUUGACACACCUCACGGUAAAAAAGAGAUUGCUAUGGCUAUGGUUACAAACAGCAAAAUCAAUUUGUUGAACUAUCUCAAACCUACUAAAACGGCUUGGAAGGUUGAAGUCAAAGUUAUUAAUUCGUGGAAACAACACUCAAACUAUCCUAAAG
Molecule: long non-coding RNA, 277 nt
Filed under: Brassica rapa (field mustard)
Lineage: Eukaryota; Viridiplantae; Streptophyta; Magnoliopsida; Brassicales; Brassicaceae
Description: long non-coding RNA (BRAP_LNC002727)
Source: RNAcentral